GAUGAAGAACGCAGCGAAAUGCGAUAAGUAUGUGAAUUGCAGAAUUCAGUGAAUCAUCGAAUCUUUGAACGCACAUUGCGCCCGCCAGUAUUCUGGCGGGCAUGCCUGUUCGAGCGUCAUUUCAACCAUCAAGCCCCCGGCUUGUGUUGGGGACCUGCGGCUGCCACAGGCCCUGAAAACCAGUGGCGGGCUCGCUAGUCACUCCGAGCGUAGUAAUACAUCUCGCUCAGGGCGUGCUGCGGGUUCCGGCCGUUAAAAAGCCUUAUUUACCCAAGGUUGACCUCGGAUCAGGUAGGAAGACCCGCUGAACUUAAGCAUAUCAAUAAGCGGAGGA
RNAcentral lists this unclassified non-coding RNA (334 nucleotides) under soil metagenome. Its description in RNAcentral is "partial contains 5.8S ribosomal RNA, internal transcribed spacer 2, and large subunit ribosomal RNA". The stretch from base 1 to 119 matches the Rfam family "5.8S ribosomal RNA", at positions 35 to 154 of the family's 154-position model. The record is from RNAcentral.